CGUUUAUAGUAGCACCUGCUUUGUGUGAAUGUUUUGAGGGUCUGGGUGUUUUCCUUUGUGUAUCCGGUGUACAAUUUGUCCAAGGACAGUGUUCUUAUGAACAAAAAGUAAGGCAAAACAAUACAAAUACACAGAAGCUUUUGGUACUGGUAAAGUUAUUUAUAUUUUGGUGCGUUCUUCCCUGGGCAGGAAUGAGGUCACGGAAACCAGAAAGAGCACAGCAACUGGACGGGAGAGAUAAGAGUUCAGCUGACCGUGAUAGGUAGCUCAACAGUAUUGACUAAAGCUUCACAAGAAAUCUAGUUCCUUUUCAGCAACAUGUGAGAGAGAAUGAAUACAAGUAAACUUUAAUGUCACCAUAGAGAAUAAGGUAGGUCACAGCUACCCCUAGCUUGGCCUUUCCCAUUUGGAGGCACUGUAUGCAUGGUAUGCUAUGGGCACUAUUUCAUUAAAACUGUAGCACAGACCUGCGUGGAGGCUGGGGAAGGUAAAGUGAAGCAUAGAGAAAGUAAGUAGCUUUAUCGUUGUCACAUAAAACUUUAGGGACCAGAAGAGAAGCACUGACUCUGGAAAUUACAGCCUUUCAGAGGAGGAGGACUAUAAAAUGUGGUAUAUGCCAUCAUGUGUCAGCAAUGCCCCUCUGCCAUAUACGUUGGCCAAACUGGACAGUCUCUAUGCAAAAGAAUAAAUGGACACAAAUCUGACAUCAAGAAUUGUAACAUUCAAAAACCAGUAGGAGAGCACUUCAGUCUCCCUGGACACUCAGUAACAGACCUAAAAGUGGCCAUUCUUCAAGAAAAAAAUUCAAAAACAGACUCCAAUGAGAAACGGCAGAACUGGAAUUAAUUUGCAAACUGGACACCAUCAAAUUAGGCCUGAAUAAAGACUGGGACUGAAUGGGUCACUACAAAAAGUAGUUUUCCUUCUGCUGAUACUCACACCUUCUUGUCAACUGUUAGAAAUGAGCGAGGACCACCUUGCAUUGGCCUCGUUAGCACUACAAAAGUAAUCAACUGUUAAGAAUAGGCCACUUCCGCCUUAAUUGAAUUGGCCUCCUUAGCACUGACCCUCCACUUGAAUAACAUGGCUACCACUCUGAAAACUAUAAAAAGUGUAGAAGGAAUACUAGCUCCAUGGGGAGCUCCUGACUACUCCAGACCUACCAUCUUCCAGCAAAGCAUGCCAUCAAGAAUAGUACAGUCGUGUCAGCUAUGAAGAGAUCACAUCUACUACAGUCCCAGCCUCCUACCGCAAAAGGCUCUGUAAGGAACAGGGAGGGAUCACUGGCUACAGCUCCAGUGAUCACUUAUAGGAGGAAGAUCUGUGGCGGCUGCUGCUCCUGCAAAGUUCUGAGUGGCCAUGAACUGCAGCACAAUGACAAGCUGUAAAAACAUCAUGAGCCAAGAGUCAUCUGACUUGUUAUUGUAUCCUUAUGUGUUAAAAGAAAGAAUGAAGAGCAUUCUCUGGGUAUGUCUGCACUGCAAUGGAACCCUGAACUCAGCCUCCAGCCUAACACCCCUUCUGUCCAUUCAAGUGGCACUAACACAGGGCUCGGACCCAGGGUCUCAGAAGCCUGCAGGGCUGCAGGGUCUGAGCACAAGUCAAGUCUUAACCUAAGGUUCAAGCCCUAUUGCUUUGCAGUGCAGAAUAGCCUCGCUUGACUCAGAUCCUGGACCUGGAAGUCCACCAAAAAGUAUCCCACAAUCCCAUGGGCCAACUUCCUUUGUCCUCUCUAUCCCAAGAAUCUUGAAUCUACUCUAUUCAAAACAGAAGCAACCACCCUUGGUGUACUGCAGCAACUCUCUGAGUUAGUGUUAACCCUUCCAUUGUCUUCUGACCAUCGAGCUGAAAACACACCAUCAGUGUUUGCAAUGGAGUCUGAACAGAACAAGCCUUUUGCAAAACACGCUGCUUUGUGGACAUGGGGGCACAGCCUGAUUUUGGUAAAUCUCUGAUGCAAGGCUAGCAAAACUGUGGACUUAAGUAAGAGUACCAGGAAUGACUGCGCAUAUUAGCAAAUAGGGAAGAAGCUGGCAGCUUUGCACAUUUACCCAACCAGUACCCAGUGCAAGGGCGUGGCUUAAAUGGCUCAAGAGCAAGUACCGGAAACCCAACGGCCAGAACCACACCUCGGGCAACUCGUCAAAAUCAUGUGUGUUGUGAGGAGUCUGGUCACCGGGCACUGCGCUGAGCAUGGAGCCAACAGUACUGCAUGAUGACCUGGUCAGCUGGGAUGGGGCCCCACUGUCUUCAGAAUCCACCAUAGGGAAUGACAGGAACCUGCAGCAGUCUCCAAGUGGGGACAAUGAAGUCACUCUGUUGCUGAGACCAGUUCCAGAGCAGACUUUGGCACAGGAGCAGCAGCAGUGCAUUCUGGGUCUGUACUCGUACGGGCUGAUGCACUCCCCAAGGAGCAGCCCGCGGCGGAGCCUGCUGCAGGCACACAUGGGACCAAAGCUGUUCCUAAGCCCCAGUAAGUUUCUGGCUCCAUUUUCAUGUUUAUUAAUACAGUAAUGUGACCAAUGCAAAAGUUAUGAGAACCCCAGCUAGCAGCCUGUAUCUGCUAGUGGCGGAUUAUAUGCCAGCGGUAUGGCUCUUCCACCCAACCACCGCCAUCACAUGGAGUUCAAAAUAGCGACCAGGACAUGCAAACAAUAAAGAACAACUUUAAAGUGUAUUUUUACGGGAAAGGCAGAGAUUUUUGCUCGGCCAUUCCUAUUUCUUAAAAACAAUAACCUUACAUUGCCAUGCCUGUAAGUACGCCACUCUGUAACCAUUCUACAGUCUAUCGAGCUGCCUGGAAACAGUGAACUCUGUGAAUGUUUGAGGAAAUGUGUUCCAUUCACAAAUCUAGUUCAUUUUAGUCAGUGCAGUCCAUAGAUGACAAAAUAAUGUGUCCCAAAUAUGACUGUGGUUUGAAAUUUUCUGGGGGUGGUGAGGAGGAAGGGGAAAUAUGCUGGGGGUUGGGAGGAGGAAGGCUGUGAAUUUCUGCGUGUUUGCAUGCUGUCAUAACAGGCUACACCAUGUGGAAUCUAACACAGCAUCCUCUUGAUUCCCUCAUGAAUUCUGACUUAAUCCUGGGUGCUAAUAGCUGAAGCUUUGCCUGAAGCAGGAACUUCACAUAGGUAAUCAUAUUUCAGGGAAGGGCAUAUUUUCCACGGCCACCUUGGUAGCUGACCAGCCCAUUCCACUCAUAGAUGUGCUGUUCAGUUACUAGACAUUUGAAUACGUCUGUUGCAUAAACUGCAGGUUUCCCCCCAGCAGCUUGGAAUAACAUCUCCUUUGCCAAAUCAGGCACCACAAGAACUAUUAUGUCCUCCAAAAUUGGAAAGGCCUGAAAUUGUAGAAAAAUCUUUUGUAGCACAGCUACUGAUAGCAGCCCUCCACUCUCACCCACCCCAAACCCAAGUGUUCCGCAGUUUUCUAAAAUAAAAAAAUCAGCUUUCCAUUUUUAACUUUCCACUGUGCCUGUAAUUCUUUCACUGUGAUUAACCAGGCUGUGGCUAGGGAACUUCAGUGGUCUGAAGCAUCCUUUUCACAAUAUAUUGACGUUCAGUUUGAAAAAGUAUCAUUUUAUGGCCUUGAAAUUCCAUGAGGAUUUUCUCUGCGUUCCUGCAGUGAUCUAGUUGAGACAAUAACACCUUUCUUCACCCCCACCCCCACACACAGUCUUGUCCUGUUCCAGGCCCCUCAGCCUCUGCAAGCUUCAGUACUGCAGCAGAAGCCUGACUCAAUGGACCUUGACAGAAGCGUUUCCAUGACAAACUUAUGGUUGAAGUUCUGGAGAGGGCCAACAAGCAGGUCUGCUACCAAAGACAGAUGGCCUUAUAGUAGAGGAAAAGGCAUGCCGCACGGCACAAGGAAAGGCUCAGGUUGGCUGCACAGUUUGAGGGAGCUGGCACUUGCUUUGCAGAUUCUGGAAUAGGAAAGGUGGCUAAGGGAGGAGGACAGAGCUCAGCAGAAAGUGCAGUUUGAGUGGCUUAUGUCAAUAGUGACUGUGGCUCCUGCUGCAUUACCCACACCCACAGGCCCAAGUACCCUGCGUACUACCCUAUGCUGCAAUUCAGAAGUAGAUUGGAAGACUCUAUGGCUGGGUGGCGCAUGCAAUCAGGCCCCAUGAGUGGCUGGCAGGGCAACCUUACCUCAUGCAGCCCUCCAUAUUGACCUCCUCCCCUGUGGAUGUCUCCAUCUCCCUCCUACAGUGUCAUGUGCCCGGUUCAUGGGAAAAGAAGGGAAAGGAGAACCAUCGGCCUGGGGACAUGACAGGAUAGGGAAUUUCUGUCUUGUACGUGGUUUCACUGUUUGCACUUGUUCAUGCACUUUGUUUUUUUUGUUUUGUUUCCGUAAGGGUCUGUUGUUACUCGUGUUUUGGCAUGGUAAGGACAGCUGGCCUGCCUGGGAAUGGGUGAAUGUAGUAGUUUUCUAAUACAUGUUUAUAAAGUUUUUAAUUUCAUCAAGAAA
Molecule: non-coding RNA, 4461 nt
Organism: Caretta caretta (loggerhead turtle)
Lineage: Eukaryota; Metazoa; Chordata; Testudines; Cheloniidae
Source: RefSeq, a predicted model, not a curated record